UUUUUUCUUUUUUAUUUUUUCUUCUUUUCAACUGAUGUAUGUCAGGCCAGUAUAAAAGGGGCGAGUUGAACAUCUGGACCCAAACCAAAGCAUUUAACAUUUCCAAGCAAUUCAGAGGCACAGAUGAUUUAUGAUGCUAUUCUUAGAUUUUUAUCAUGUGUCCUCUCACUUUAUGAAAUGUGGGCAGGAACAUAAACCUGGUGACACUUCAUGACAUAAAAACAGUGAUUGAAGACUGAUAAGAAAGAAAAGAAGAAUCAUUUUGGUUUGGAGAUGUUCAGAACAGGGCAGGCUCCUGGGAAGAUGAGUUGAAUUUUGCUCUAGCGGCAGUGCCUCUAGCAAUUGAAGGAACUCUAUGUUUAGGCAAUCCCUGGCCUCCUCUAUCUCUAGAAAAAGCAGAAUAGGAUCUGUAACUUAACUGAUGUACCUGUGUGGCUUUUUUUGCUAGAAAAGCUGAGGCAGUCAUAUUAUUGAGUAUUGAAAGGCCCUGGAGAUAAUAAGACCAUCAUAAUAUAUUUUCUGUCUUCAAAUGACCCAUCUCCUUCUGCACUAGGGAGGGAGGAACGGGGGCAGGGGGUGGGCAUAAAAAGAAGGCUGUAAAAGAAAAGAAAUGAAGGGAAAAGGUAAGAUGACUGUGACAUACGAACCAAAAUAGAAACAUCAUGGCAUACUGGCAAAGCUGAAGUUUGUUUAUAAAUCACUUCUCUAAAUGAUAUCCCUCUGCAACACAAAAUAAUGCUUCAGAAAAUACCUGUGGGUAGCAAUUUGUAUUUAAUGGAAAAGACAUGGAAUAUAUUUAGAAACACUAGAAACCAUCUAUUGUCACCAACUUGUUGAUUAAUUUCAAAAUCAUUACUCAAUUUCAUAAAACCUCUUUGGACUAAAGCAGAUUUGCACAAUAACCUUUUAAGACAUCACAUUAUAUGUAUAUUGUCAGAUGAACUUUCCAAUUUUUAAAAUAUAUCACUCAAUGUAACAAUAUCAAAUCAUUGAAUUAGCUAAAAUAAGUAACAAAUUAUGGUAUAAAAUGCUAAAUUAUAUCUAAAUAUAGACAGAGCAUUUUGGAAAAGUCAUUAAUCUUUUUCUCAUUUAUUUUACCAAUAUUUCAACCAGUGAUACUGGAUUAGUAUCUCAGGGCAUGAUAAAUGUGAUCUUUCUUUCAUUUAAUCAUUAAAUAAAAAUUUAAACAUGCAUUUAUAUUUUCUGAUAGUAUUUAUGAUAGUUUUGGCAUUUAAGACUUUUUAAUUUCCUCAUGGUCAAUCAUGUAUAAUGACUAACAUAAAUAUUUCAUUGCUUCUAAUAAUUAUUUCUUAAUAGAAUCAUAGUCUUGUUUUUUCAGAUAAGUCUUGCCACUUUAGAAUUGUCCAUCAAGAACAUAUGAUGUUCUACUUUACACAUAGAUACGAGACAAGUGAGCAACAGUUCUGGAGAUUCCUAGUUACGUGAUAUUACAACAGAUUCGUAAGUACCUACUCUGAAUACGACUGCAUAGAUACAGAUUGUUUACGAACAACAGUAUGAAACAGGCAACGUUUUAAAGUCAAGCUCUUUAUAUAUAUAGCUGUGGGACAUCACAGGAAAUGAACAACCCUUCUUUCUAGAUAUGAGAAUUGAGAUGCACAGCUGCCUGCAUUAACUGAAGCUCUGUCUUGGGGCUAGGAUUGGGUUAUCCUGGACUUCCCUCAUAGGCCAAUUUAUUCCAUGAUUUAUGGGCAGGAGGUUGUAAAUAAAUGUCAAUGUCCACCUUCCACCUGAGAAGCCCAUUUUCCGUUGCUGAAUUAGAAGGCAUGCACUUACAAAAAAAGAAAAAAACUUUCCUUUAAGGGUCCUAAAAAAGAGCUGCUUAAUUAUUCGUGCCACACAUCCUACAGAAUAAAGUUCUCCUAAUCAUAGCAGAGAAAUCAUUAUUAUUGAUUGAAAUGUCAUUUCAGUCAGAGAUCAGGAACCCCAAAAAAGAUCAUUUUUGCUUCCCAAAUUAACCAUAAAAAGUUUAAACUGUAAGUGAAAUGCCAUUCUAUGCUGUUGCAAUGAAUUUCCAAUAAUAGUAUCUACUUUAUUUUGGUUCAAAAACACUGCCUUAAUUAGGCUGACCUUUCAAGAGCUUUUCUAGAACUGAAAUUCUUUAAAAUGCUUCCGCAUACUAUAUUCACAAGCAAUCUAUCUGUCCAAAUAUAAUUAUAAAAGCUUUAAAAUCACAACUUAGUAUUUGUUUUAGACACCAAAUAUUAUUUUUGUCAUUUCUUCUGCCAAACAUCAAAGUCCCAUUCUGAAGCUAUUAACAGACUUAAAAAUUUUAAUACACACUUGUACCAGAUGAGUAUUUGCCAAAUAUUAAAAACUUUUUUUUUUGGCUGGGGGUAGCGGGCCAGGGAUGUGGAUAAAACCAAAAAAUGAAACAUUGUUUCAAGAAAUCAAGCAAUAUCUAAGUAAUGUAUCCACUUUGAAGAGUGCUUUGCUUAUAAUCAUGAUACCCAUAUUUGUCUAAUUCUUACCUUGACUUUCAGUGUUUAAAAAACACUUCUAUGUAUUUUAUUCCAUUGGAAAAUUGCAAUAUUCCUGGGAAGUACAGAACAGUUUUCUAUUUAAGAGAUGAAGAAAUAGUUUCAGACAGAGUAAUCAUGUCAUUCCUCUCUAGGUCUUUAACGAGCUACUACUCUCAGAGAGUAAGAUUCUCCUCAAGCCAUGUUGGGUCUAAGUCACAGCUUUUCUGACAUUCAAUAGGAACAACAUUGCUUCCUACAUUUGUCAUUACUAAAUGAACCUUUGAGAUUAAUUCCUCUAAAACCUCAGUGCUCCUCCUUACCUUAUAAAAUUGGAGGGUGGGGUGGAAGAAGACUAAAACUGAAGUGAUUUUUUCCAAGGUCAAACAAUUUACUAGAGCCCACCUAACAUGUGACCCUACAUCUUCUAACUCCUGUUCAAUUGCACUAUCAUCUCCUUCCUGUUUCUCCUUUUCCAGAACUAGACAGAGAUAAAAACAUUUCAAGUCAAGCUCUGAAAGCCAGCUAGCCAGCCCUGAAAGAUAAUGAAAGUGUCUUCAGAAAUGUUUGCCUUUUUAAAUUCAUGUUUUUCAGAAAACACUAAGGCUUGGAACCUGGUGUCAAAUAACAGCAAUGCCCCUGGAUUUAGAGUUUUUGAAGAAUGGGUACACUUCCUCCAUGGACCUUUUAGCAUUGCAUGUGUCACAUCCUCUGCUGACCAAGGAAGAAUGUACAAAUUAGCCAUAUAGUUUGUUGCCCUUUGGAUCCAGUAAUCUAUCACAUAUUUCCAGCCACAAUGUUCAUUGGACUUUUAGUUGAUCAAUCACAUAAAACCACUAUUUUCAAAACACUUCACAAAAUUAUCAAAUUUCUAUGCAUUCAGCAAACACUGAAAACCAUUUAUAUCCCCUUCACAUUAUGGCUUUAGUUUUUUACAUGUUAAGCCUCUAAAGCAUAUGUUCUCAACAAAAUUAAUAAAUAGAUAAGGCUACUACAAGUGCUUGUCACCUCUCCAACCCCCAACCAGGGUUCCCAAAAGAUUAUUUUGGGAAGGAUAACAUUUAUGCACCUUUACUAACACUUAGUGAGAAACAUAAACCCGUAUUAUCAGAGCCUGCUUCACCACUUCUACAAAAAACAUGACAACUGUUUAUUUAAAUGAGAUGAAAUUCUUAUCUAAGCCAAAUUGCACAAACAUAAUCAGAUCUGGUUUUAAACCCUCCAUUGAAAAUACAGGUAUUUGUAUGCUUCCAGGACUCGGCCAACUGCUGUAUUAUCAAUGUUAAAAUUGCAUGCAGUUGAUUAUUUAGCUUAUUUCCCAAUCACCACCUUUCAAAGGAAAUUAUUUAAUAGAAAUCAGCAUCACAUGAGUUUUGAGCUUCUGUGAGAAUUAAAGGGAAAUUUUUAACAGCUAUGUGAAUAUCAAAAUCCUUCCAAGCUUUUUUCUUGGUCAAUUUAUUCAUUCAAAAAUACAUAUUACAUUACUAUUACAAGCAACAUACUGGGGAUACAAUCUAAGCAUAAAAAGCAAACAACAUACCAGGUUCCCUAUCUUCAUGCAUUUUAGUCUAAUGGGAGAGCAAAUAUUAGAUAAUAAUGAAAUAAACACAAACAUAUUCAUUCAUUCAAUAUUUAUUCUGUAUCAAAUAUUUAUUUAGAGCCUACUAUGUACAAAGCACUAUUCCAGACAUUUGAGUUAUAUUGGUCACCAGGCAAAAUCAUCCUCCUCUUUGUAUUUAUAUUCUAGGAUGCAGAGACCCACCCAAUGUUAAGUACUGGAGAAAAGGAGGAAAAAAGACAAAAUGGAGAAAGACAAAAGGGAUAGAAAGCAUUGGAUUUGGGGGUUUGAAAUUUUUUAAAGGAUGUCAAAGACAAGUUUUAUUAAAAGGUGACAUGUGAGUUGACUUACAAAGUAAUAAAUUCCUUGGGUAAACAUUACAAAACAAAGGCUUGCAAGCCAUGAAGAGGAUGCUGGUCUUUAUGCCAAGGGCAAUAGCAGACUUGAUAAGAUUAAUGGUGAGAUAUUUUGUUACAUUAGGAAGGAGUAGAAAGGACUAGAAGGAAGAAACUCAGGUAUCUAACCAUUUUUCCCAAAUGUGGUAUCCAAGAUAUGGAAGAGAUCAGAAACUACUCCACACAUUCUCUCAUAUCUGCCCCUAAAUUACACCCGCAGAAGAUGGAUUUGAAAUCUUACUGGAUACAAAUGUAAAUCAUGAAAUCACCAAGUAAUGCAAUAACUUUCCCUAGGCCUUAGCUUGUUGCUUUUAAAUAAGGUUUUUCAGGUGCAGCCUGACCUCACUUUUGCUAGGAAAGCUGGGUCUCACAAAUGCCUGCCUCUUCUUCACAGAAAGAAGCAAAUGUGUUAUCCAGCAAAUAAUUUGAAAAACUAGGGUAAUAUAGCCAUCUCCUGAUUGAGAAACAGUGGGAUAAACCUCCAGAAUUCUAUGACUCUUUGAAUCCAUGAUAAAAACACAUUGUCAAAAAAAGAAAAAAAAAAAAAAAAC
RNAcentral lists this long non-coding RNA (4984 nucleotides) under Canis lupus familiaris (dog). RNAcentral describes it as "lncRNA (ENSCAFG00845012918.1)". The record is from RNAcentral. Lineage: Eukaryota; Metazoa; Chordata; Mammalia; Carnivora; Canidae.